GAUGAACGCUGGCGGCGUGCCUAAUACAUGCAAGUCGAGCGAACAGACGAGGAGCUUGCUCCUCUGACGUUAGCGGCGGACGGGUGAGUAACACGUGGAUAACCUACCUAUAAGACUGGGAUAACUUCGGGAAACCGGAGCUAAUACCGGAUAAUAUAUUGAACCGCAUGGUUCAAUAGUGAAAGACGGUUUUGCUGUCACUUAUAGAUGGAUCCGCGCCGCAUUAGCUAGUUGGUAAGGUAACGGCUUACCAAGGCAACGAUGCGUAGCUGACCUGAGAGGGUGAUCAGCCACACUGGAACUGAGACACGGUCCAGACUCCUACGGGAGGCAGCAGUAGGGAAUCUUGCGCAAUGGGCGAAAGCCUGACGGAGCAACGCCGCGUGAGUGAUGAAGGUCUUCGGAUCGUAAAACUCUGUUAUUAGGGAAGAACAAAUGUGUAAGUAACUAUGCACGUCUUGACGGUACCUAAACAGAAAGCCACGGCUAACUACGUG
Molecule: ribosomal RNA, 497 nt
Filed under: uncultured bacterium
Lineage: Bacteria
Description: partial 16S ribosomal RNA
Rfam family: Bacterial small subunit ribosomal RNA
Source: RNAcentral